Molecule: non-coding RNA, 522 nt
Organism: Heterocephalus glaber (naked mole-rat)
Lineage: Eukaryota; Metazoa; Chordata; Mammalia; Rodentia; Bathyergidae
Source: RefSeq, a predicted model, not a curated record
GAGGCAGCUGCCACUUACCUUUAGCUCCUGGUUGCAUAUCUUUUUAGAGAAGCUGGGCUUUAGGAUGUCUUUGUGAAGUCUCCAGACUUUGAAAAACUGGAAAAAGAUUUGGAAAUCCAGAAUCAAGGACCUCGGCAGUGAAGUGUCAAGCUGGUUCUCUAUUGUACACAUCAAUGUAGCUAUGUUGUUGCUGGUGUAUUUUUUUUUUAUCACAAGUCUGGGCCUCUUGGUAAUAGACUAAACAUGAGCUGCUGCUUGCCGCCUUCCCUCCUUGGAUGUCAUCAGUGUAAUCAGGGAACAGCAUGCCCUACCGAGGUCCUGAGUCACUCGGAAGACACCGAACCACCCUUCUGCAGACAGGCAGGUCUGCCUACACCCUACCAAGGUCCCCAGUCGCGCGGAACACAGGCCGAAUUAGCCCGCUGCAGACAGGCAGGUCUGUGCACGCCCUACCGAGGUCCUGAGUCGUGCAGAAGACACCGAAUCACCCCGCUGCAGACAGGCAGCCACCUGAUUCCACAC